RNAcentral lists this ribosomal RNA (185 nucleotides) under uncultured bacterium. RNAcentral describes it as "partial 16S ribosomal RNA". It matches the Rfam family "Bacterial small subunit ribosomal RNA", at positions 1316 to 1500 of the family's 1533-position model. The record is from RNAcentral.
CUACAUGAAGCUGGAAUCGCUAGUAAUCGCGGAUCAGAAUGCCGCGGUGAAUACGUUCCCGGGUCUUGUACACACCGCCCGUCACACCAUGGGAGUCGGAAAUGCCCGAAGUCUGUGACCCAACCUUAGGGAGGGAGCAGCCGAAGGCAGGUCGGAUGACUGGGGUGAAGUCGUAACAAGGUAAC